Molecule: ribosomal RNA, 624 nt
Filed under: uncultured bacterium
Lineage: Bacteria
Description: bacterial SSU rRNA
Rfam family: Bacterial small subunit ribosomal RNA
Source: RNAcentral
GAUGAACGCUGGCGGUAUGCUUUACACAUGCAAGUCGUACGAGAGUUUUUAACUCUAGUGGCGGACGGGUGAGUAACACGUAAGAAUUUGCCUUUAGGAGGGGGAUAACAACUGGAAACGGUUGCUAAUACCCCAUAUGCUUUCGAGUGAAAUGGAUUUCCGCCUAAAGAGAAGCUUGCGGCUGAUUAGCUUGUUGGUGAGGUAAUGGCUCACCAAGGCGACGAUCAGUAUCUGGUUUGAGAGGACGAUGAGACACACUGGAACUGAGACACGGUCCAGACUCCUACGGGAGGCAGCAGUGGGGAAUUUUCCGCAAUGGGCGAAAGCCUGACGGAGCAAUACCGCGUGAGGGAUGAAAGCCUAUGGGUUGUAAACCUCUUUUUUCAGGGAGGAACAAAAUGACGUGUACCUGAAGAAUAAGCAUCGGCUAACUCCGUGCCAGCAGCCGCGGUAAGACGGGGGAUGCAAGUGUUAUCCGGAAUCACUGGGCGUAAAGCGUCUGUAGGUGGUUAAGUAAGUCAACUGUUAAAUCUUGAGGCUUAACCUCAAAAUCGCAGUCGAAACUGCUUGACUAGAGUAUAGUAGGGGUAAAGGGAAUUUCCAGUGGAGCGGUGAAAUGCGUAG